Molecule: ribosomal RNA, 303 nt
Filed under: uncultured bacterium
Lineage: Bacteria
Description: bacterial SSU rRNA
Rfam family: Bacterial small subunit ribosomal RNA
Source: RNAcentral
UGAGGAAUAUUGGUCAAUGGGCGGGAGCCUGAACCAGCCAAGUCGCGUGAAGGAAGAAGGUACUUAGUAUUGUAAACUUCUUUUGUCGGGGAACAAAGGCGGAGACGCGUCUCCGGAUGAGUGUACCCGAAGAAAAAGCAUCGGCUAACUCCGUGCCAGCAGCCGCGGUAAUACGGAGGAUGCGAGCGUUAUCCGGAUUUAUUGGGUUUAAAGGGUGCGCAGGCGGGAGAUCAAGUCAGCGGUAAAAUGUCGGGGCUCAACCCCGGCCGGCCGUUGAAACUGGUUUUCUAGAGUUGGAGAGAA